Molecule: ribosomal RNA, 422 nt
Filed under: uncultured bacterium
Lineage: Bacteria
Description: partial 16S ribosomal RNA
Rfam family: Bacterial small subunit ribosomal RNA
Source: RNAcentral
UGAGGAAUAUUGGACAAUGGGUGAGAGCCUGAUCCAGCCAUCCCGCGUGAAGGAUGACGGUCCUAUGGAUUGUGAACUUCUUUUGUACAGGGAUAAACCUACUCUCGUGAGGGUAGCUGAAGGUACUGUACGAAUAAGCACCGGCUAACUCCGUGCCAGCAGCCGCGGUAAUACGGAGGGUGCAAGCGUUAUCCGGCUUUAUUGGGUUUAAAGGGUCCGUAGGCGGACUUGUAAGUCAGUGGUGAAAUCUCAUAGCUUAACUAUGAAACUGCCAUUGAUACUGCAGGUCUUGAGUAAAUUUGAAGUGGCUGGAAUAAGUAGUGUAGCGGUGAAAUGCAUAGAUAUUACUUAGAACACCAAUUGCGAAGGCAGGUCACUAAGAUUUAACUGACGCUGAUGGACGAAAGCGUGGGGAGCGAACA